This 226-nucleotide unclassified non-coding RNA is filed under the name Hevea brasiliensis (rubber tree). The record is from RNAcentral. Lineage: Eukaryota; Viridiplantae; Streptophyta; Magnoliopsida; Malpighiales; Euphorbiaceae.
CACCAACAGCUCCUCUCCCUCUCUCUCUCAUAAUCAGAGACCGAAGGAACCAAACCAAUUAGCGCAAACGAGGCCUUCAAAUCUCUCCCUCUCCUCUCAUCCCCCCAUAUAUCUUUCGCUCAAAUCAAAACCUAUAAAAGAAAUCUGUUUUCGAAAUCUUCCCUCUAAUUUCUCCCCUGCUUGUCAAUUUGCAAUAAUUUUCUACUUCGAUCGGGCUAAAUCAACC